AACCUCUCCCUGCCGGAAUUCCGACCGCCCGUCCGCCGCCGUCAGGUCGCCCCAGACCGCCGCACCGGUCCCAAUCGAUCGGUCUCCAACCCAGCUAUCUUCCAGGACCGGUGACAGCCCCCCUAGCGCCGCCGUGAGAGAGCGGUGCCGCCCGAAAGGCUAGGCUGCCCCGAACUUCCGGCCGCCGAAACUCCCUCCUCCGGCCACCAAUCCGGGCAAGCUUGGUACGGUUUUGUAGCCCUCCUCCCGUGCAGCAACCCCUCCAAUCAGCUCACUCCCUCUUGAGCUAGGUAAGAAGAAAUGUGGAGUUGAAAUUUCUAGGGCUUUUAGGAUGUUUUUGUUCGAUUAGCCUAGUUAGGCUUGGAAUUGGGUGAUGUGUUGGUCAGGAAAGUUGUAGAGCAUGAUGAGGAGAUUAUUCUGUCAAAAUUUCAUAGGUUUUGGAGGUCACUGGAAUUGGCCUCCGGCCGCCGCUGCCGGCGGAGCCGCCGGUUAAGAGAUUUUUAGGGUUUUAAGUGUGGAAUAUUAAGGGGAGUAUAUUGAUGUGAUUUAUGGAAUUUUUGGAUGAGAUUUGGAUAGGUUUGUGAAUUUCCGAAGUUUGGUAUUUUUGGCGGUUAAUUAAUGUAGAAUCCGGCCGUAGGAUUUAAGUCGUAUUUUGGGGAGGUUGUAUUUACGACUGUUGAGUAUGAUAUAUAAGUUCGGAUCGUUCCGAUUUAAGAAUAUCGAAGUUAGGCGAGAAUGAGCGUGGUUACGGCUCAUAAUUAUUUUGCCUAUUUUUGAGUACGUUCUGGAUUUUCGGUUGAGAAAUUAAUUUUAUAUUUGGAACAGGACGUGAGGAGGCUCGAGCAGACGAGGCCCCAGAUCGACAUCAGGCUUAGGCCUAAUUUGUGAGUGGACGUUCAUUUUAAAUAAAUGCAUGCUAUAGUUCAUGGUUGAACAAUUAAUGUUGCGGAAUAUUUUAACGUCAUUUUAAUUUGACGAUUUUUAUUUCUCUUGGAGAGUUACCGAAAAUGGGAUUUUCGGUGGAUAUAAAUAUGUAUUUAUG
This 1042-nucleotide long non-coding RNA is filed under the name Fragaria vesca (wild strawberry). RNAcentral's name for it is "long non-coding RNA (FVES_LNC004581)". Lineage: Eukaryota; Viridiplantae; Streptophyta; Magnoliopsida; Rosales; Rosaceae. The record is from RNAcentral.